GACGAACGCUGGCGGCGUGCUUAACACAUGCAAUUCGAACGGUAAGGCUCCAGCUUGCUGGGGUACACGAGUGGCGAACGGGUGAGUAACACGUGGGUGACCUGCCCUGCACUUCGGGAUAAGCCUGGGAAACUGGGUCUAAUACCGGAUAGGACCGCACCGUGAGGGUGUGGUGGAAAGUUUUUUCGGUGUGGGAUGGGCCCGCGGCCUAUCAGCUUGUUGGUGGGGUAAUGGCCUACCAAGGCGGCGACGGGUAGCCGGCCUGAGAGGGUGGACGGCCACAUUGGGACUGAGACACGGCCCAGACUCCUACGGGAGGCAGCAGUGGGGAAUAUUGCACAAUGGGCGGAAGCCUGAUGCAGCGACGCCGCGUGGGGGAUGACGGCCUUCGGGUUGUAAACUCCUUUCACCAUCGACGAAGGGUUUCUGACGGUAGAUGGAGAAGAAGCACCGGCUAACUACGUGCCAGCAGCCGCGGUAAUACGUAGGGUGCGAGCGUUGUCCGGAAUUACUGGGCGUAAAGAGCUCGUAGGUGGUUUGUCGCGUCGUCUGUGAAAUUCCGGGGCUUAACUCCGGGCGUGCAGGCGAUACGGGCAUAACUUGAGUACUGUAGGGGAGACUGGAAUUCCUGGUGUAGCGGUGAAAUGCGCAGAUAUCAGGAGGAACACCGGUGGCGAAGGCGGGUCUCUGGGCAGUAACUGACGCUGAGGAGCGAAAGCAUGGGGAGCGAACAGGAUUAGAUACCCUGGUAGUCCAUGCCGUAAACGGUGGGCGCUAGGUGUGGGUUUCCUUCCACGGGAUCCGUGCCGUAGCUAACGCAUUAAGCGCCCCGCCUGGGGAGUACGGCCGCAAGGCUAAAACUCAAAGGAAUUGACGGGGGCCCGCACAAGCGGCGGAGCAUGUGGAUUAAUUCGAUGCAACGCGAAGAACCUUACCUGGGCUUGACAUAUACAGGAUCGCGCCAGAGAUGGUGUUUCCCUUGUGGCUUGUAUACAGGUGGUGCAUGGUUGUCGUCAGCUCGUGUCGUGAGAUGUUGGGUUAAGUCCCGCAACGAGCGCAACCCUUGUCUUAUGUUGCCAGCACGUUGUGGUGGGGACUCGUAAGAAACUGCCGGGGUUAACUCGGAGGAAGGUGGGGAUGACGUCAAAUCAUCAUGCCCCUUAUGUCCAGGGCUUCACACAUGCUACAAUGGUCGGUACAGUGGGUUGCCAGUCCGUGAGGGCGAGCUAAUCCCGCAAAGCCGGUCUCAGUUCGGAUCGGGGUCUGCAACUCGACCCCGUGAAGUCGGAGUCGCUAGUAAUCGCAGAUCAGCAACGCUGCGGUGAAUACGUUCCCGGGCCU
RNAcentral lists this ribosomal RNA (1341 nucleotides) under uncultured bacterium. RNAcentral describes it as "16S ribosomal RNA". It matches the Rfam family "Bacterial small subunit ribosomal RNA", at positions 28 to 1381 of the family's 1533-position model. The record is from RNAcentral.